Molecule: long non-coding RNA, 770 nt
Filed under: Cricetulus griseus (Chinese hamster)
Lineage: Eukaryota; Metazoa; Chordata; Mammalia; Rodentia; Cricetidae
Description: lncRNA (ENSCGRG00015040167.1)
Source: RNAcentral
AGAAAGAAAAAAAAAAAAAGCAUAUUUGACGUUAGGGGAAAAAAACCCUUUAACGCUGUAAAAGUCUCUCUGGUUAUUUUCACUUUUUGUUUUGGACAAAAAAGAAGGAGAUGAGAGGAACAUUUUUAAAACGCCAUGUAGAUCGCCUCGUGGUUAUUUUUAUUGUUUUAAAGAUAAUAACCAGAACUGCAGGAGGAUCUCUGUGACUCCCGGUCAGCCUGAGGGACAUAGUGAGACUUUGUUUUAAAGAGGUUAGAACCACGUUGGUUCUUGUAUUUGGAAGGUUUGUUUGAGGGCCUGAAGACUGCUAAGCAGCUAAAAGCACUUGCUGUUCUUCCUGAGGGCUGGACUUCUGUUCCCAACAUCCACAAGGCGGCUCACAGCCACCUGAAAUUUCAGUUCCCCCCUCCUGGCCUCCACCGGCCCUGCACAUGCAUGCGCGCAGGCAUGAGGCAAAACACCCGCACAUACAUACAUACUGGGUUAGCAGCAAACUUAAGCAACUUUUCUCGAAGGAAGAGAGACCUGCCCUGGUCAUUUGAGGAAUAGGAUGGAUGCGGUAUUGUGGACUCUGCUCAGGCUGAGCGGCAGGCAGUUAUUAAAUAAGGUGUGGCACCAGGCCUGUGACCCAGAACUUGAGAAGCUGGAGCAGAAGACAGCUGUGACCUCAAAGACCACCGAGGUUACAUAAUGAACUCAGCCUGGACAAGAGGUGACAUACGAUCUGAAACUCUGCUUCUGGUGCUCAUGGUGUGCGCCUGCGGUGAGAG